Molecule: long non-coding RNA, 3871 nt
Filed under: Mus musculus (house mouse)
Lineage: Eukaryota; Metazoa; Chordata; Mammalia; Rodentia; Muridae
Description: predicted gene 42650
Source: RNAcentral
ACCCUGCAGAGAUUUCUCUUCUGAAAACACAGUAUGUCCUUGUCAAUCUACUUUAUUGAUUUGUUUGCUUGCUUGCUUGCUUGCUUGUUUGUUUGUUUAGGAACUCAGACCCUAUCUUAACUGAGCAGGAGGAUAAGAAAUGAGUGAACCGUGGUGGUACGCACAGUAACCAGAAGGAAGACUUUUCAACAACAAGAUCGGCUGCCACCAUAUGUUCCCCCAGUUUCUAAUACAGAGCAGAUCAGCUAGGUGUUACUAUCUCCCCAGAAUCAAGACUGAGGUUAAACAAACAUUCAGCUGGUUUUAAGUGAGGCUUUGUCAUGCACAGAACAGUGGAGAACGGUGACAUUUCGUAAUUGGUAGCAUCAACCAACACACACACUUCAGAACACACAACUUAAGCAAACACGCACACCCAACGACAAACCAGGGGGGAAAGGCGCAGGUGUACAAGGUAGAGCGAGCAGACACCUAGAGGCAUUGUCCCGGACAGGGUGGGCUCCUGUUCUUGGAUUACUUACCGGCACAAGUCCCGCUUCUCUCGCUUCUCUCGAGAGGACCUGGCUGACAGUUCCCGGUCUGCCAUGCUGUGACGCUGAGUAUGCUAAUCUUUAAAAACACCAGCAGGAAGGCGAGCAACAGCCAGGUUGGCCUUCGGCCCCAGGGCAUCUUUUAUUUAGCUGCCUUUCCAGGUCCUUCUGCACCUCUCGAGAGCCUCUGAGUGCAGCCGGAAAGGCUCCGGGAGAGUUCUUUGUCUCACUUUUUUUUUCCCUUUGGACAGCAAUAAGAAGUACCUGACACCCGUAUGACAAAUUUCCCAGAGCCUAAGAGCCCUGCAAGGCCUGCAGGUGACUGAUUUCUCCCUGAGACAGGCACAACCAGGCAAAGGAUGAAAGAGAAACGAGACAGGAAAGAAUUGAUGGAAAGUUCCAAGCCCCACCGGGAUGAGGGAUGGUGCUAACAACGAAAUAUGCAGAUAGGAUUCCUUCCCUAUAUACAGAUAGGAAUCCCUUCUCCUUUUGGAACCCAGAGAGACUCUGCUCUCCUUUUUAAAGCUCUUCUGGCUCCACCUCCUCUUCUUUAGUGACACUUGAGCAAGCAGACAAGCCUCUUUGCAAACACCAUGAGAGCAAUUCCACCAGAGCAAGCAGGAAGGCAGGGCAGGGUGCCAGAGAGGAGAUAGCUGCUACUCACUAAAAAUAUUCAGGGUAGAGAAGGGGGAAAGAGCAAUUUGGGGGUGUGGCACAGCUAAUGGUUCCAGGGACCUGCUGAGUACUGCUUAUGUCUGAGGAUCUUGAAGAACAGAGACAAAAUUAAACCACACUUUUUAAAUCAAAGUUCUUUAUCUAGGCAGCUCUGACCCUGUGGAAGGAGAAACAAGCCCUAAAGGAGCAGCGGAAGACAUGCAGAUGAGUGUACACAACGUUUUAUUGCUCUCUGGACUCACAGAGACUCAAGACUAAGAAUGGAGGUUCUACAAAUAACCUGUGCUGAGUGGAGAACCUAUUGACUGACUGAAUUGGCUCAGUCAGGUGGUGCCCCAACAUUGGAGCUCCAAUAAACAGGAUACAGCGAAGGACACCAUGGGAAGAGGAUGCGCUCACAGAGGAAAAUUUGGGCCAGUGGAAGAAAAUGGGGCUCGGUGGUUGCCAGAAAGGCUGGUGCGACAAUGGAACAACCUCAUGCUCCUGCUGAUUCCCCUACUGAUGACGAUGACCCCUGCACAGACUGAAGUCCACUGGGCCUAUGUUCCUGACCGGCCACUGAUAUAUCCAGCAGUGUGGUCCAGACUGGAGAGUCUCAUAACCAGUAAUAAUACUCAACUUCUUGGACGCCCCCCCCCAACCAAUUUAUAAUAAAACUGUGCCUUUCAAUUCAUUGGGUAAUGGGAUCCCUGUUUGCUUUGUGAAGAAUAGUACAAAUGAUGGUUGUAUUUGAGUGUUUCCUCAAACUUGGAAGAUAAACGUUUCACAAACAGUAACUCAAGGCAUAGAUAUAGGCAUGCCUAAACAUUAUAAGGGAUUUGCCCCUUAUCCUCAUGAGCUACGACCUUGUGGAUCUGUACCCACAGAGAGUGUGGAACAGGGAUUUAACAAAAGAAUGUUUUAAUCAACCCCCAAUGUGGUUUAAUGUUUCCAAGAGAAUUCGAAUUAUUGAUUGGGCAGGAAAUCAGUCAGACAUUGGGCAAAAGGAGAUGUCCAUAGGCCUUUGGCAAUCAGAAGCAGGCCAUUUCCAACGGCAUAUCUGAAAGCUAGCUGCAGCUCUCUAUGAAGUUACAUUGGCUACAAACAAAAUUGGGACAGGAUUUGGAUUUCGAACAAGUGUUAGUGCAUGUUUUAAAGCUCCCAACCUUUCAUUAAUUGGUCAUGAUAAAAUUACUUUUGUUUCUUCUACAGUAUUUAAUGUAAGUUGUAUUGAUUGUACACUUUCUAAUUGUGUUAGUGUGUUGAAACCUGGCAUGUCUGUUAUGGUGGUCUGUCAACCAGCUUUUGUUUUAUUGCCUGUGAAUAUUAUAGGACCUUGAUAUUUUGAGAAAAGCUUGCAGGUACUAGAAGAAGUGAGUCAGGCUUUAAGGAGAAGAAAAGAGAGUAGUGGGCUUGGUUAUUGCUUGUAUAGAAGCUGUAAUUACAUUGAUAGCUAGUAACACUGCCUUUGCAAUUGCUUUGAUACAAGAAGUUAAGACAGCUCGUUUUUGUUAAUCAUUUAGCAAAAAUGUUACUAAUGUUCUGAGUAUUCAAGAGGAUUUAGAUAGGCAUCUAGAACAAUGGAUUGAUACUUUUUAUGAUACUACUCAAAUUAUUAGAGAGGAGGUUCAGAGUCUAAAAGUAAGGAGCCAUCUCAAAUGCCAUGCCAAAUACCAAUGGAUUUGUGUUACUUCUAAAGUUUACAAUGGCAGUCACUAUAGUUGGGAAAUUUUUCAAAGACACUUGCAGGGUAUUUGGCAUAAUUCCAACACCUCUCUGGAUAUUUUAGCUUUUCAUAGUGAGUUUAUGAAUUUAAAGAAUGCUGCUCUGCUGAGCUUUGAUGCUGCUGAUAUUACUGGUAAAAUUAUCCAUGGCCUGAAGUCAGUAUUUCCAUCUUGGUCAAGUUUCAAGAAUGACAUAUAUGGCUUGAUCAUGUUAGCCCUCCUUGUCUUGGGAAUAUCUUAUUCCUGUACAUCAUGUUAAAGCUUGUCUUUAACAAUAUCAACUUGUCGGCAGCCAAAGUACAUGACUUGAAACUAAAAGCAAACUCCCAGACAGAGUUAUUAAUUUAACAGGUUGGCAAGCCAGGGACAGGUAAGAUUCUGCACAGAACCUUACCAACCUAAGACAGAGGCAUGCCUGGAAAGGCCAUGUUUGUUUAUAACAAACACUAAAAGGCCAUGUUUGCUCUUAUAACACAAACAAGCUGUGCAUAUCUUGAAGACGGGUAAGGAAGGCAUUCUUGUCAGAACAACCUAAGACAGGCUCAGCCUUGUUUAUGAAUUAAGAGUGGGAGAUAUGGAGAGCCUUUUGGGGGUGCUUGGCAGGAAUCUGACAUUGGCCAAGGACAAGGAAAUGGGCAGGAAUAUGACAUUGGCCAAGGACAAGGAAAUGGGCCCCUUGGCAGCAAUCUGACAUUAGGGCAUGACAAAGAAGUAAGCUCAGGCAGGGACCUGACAUUGGCCAAGGACAAGGAAGUAAGAAUCUGGUUUUAGGGUAGAACAAAGAAGUAGGCUCAGAUAUCUUGGUCAUCCUUAGAAACAGCUAUCACCAGAGUGAUCAUGGGGCUUUGUGUUUAUUGUCUUGCUUGUCCUUAACUAUUAUCUUGCUUGAGCCCUCAUUGUACUUGCAUGUAACUAAAAUGGUAUAAAAGCAGAUUGGGAAAAUUAAAUUUGUCUUCAGACUUG